RNAcentral lists this ribosomal RNA (469 nucleotides) under uncultured Thiomonas sp. RNAcentral's name for it is "bacterial SSU rRNA". It matches the Rfam family "Bacterial small subunit ribosomal RNA", at positions 52 to 517 of the family's 1533-position model. The record is from RNAcentral. Lineage: Bacteria; Pseudomonadati; Pseudomonadota; Betaproteobacteria; Burkholderiales.
UACCAUGCAAGUCGAACGGCAGCGCGGGGCAACCUGGCGGCGAGUGGCGAACGGGUGAGUAAUACAUCGGAACGUGCCCUGUGAUGGGGGAUAACUACGCGAAAGCGUAGCUAAUACCGCAUACGACCCAAGGGUGAAAGUGGGGGAUCGCAAGACCUCACGUCAUAGGAGCGGCCGAUGGCGGAUUAGCUAGUUGGUGAGGUAAAGGCUUACCAAGGCGACGAUCCGUAGCUGGUCUGAGAGGACGACCAGCCACACUGGGACUGAGACACGGCCCAGACUCCUACGGGAGGCAGCAGUGGGGAAUCUUGGACAAUGGGGGCAACCCUGAUCCAGCAAUGCCGCGUGUGGGAUGAAGGCCUUCGGGUUGUAAACCACUUUUGGCGGGGGCGAAAUAUUGAGUGCUAAUACCAUUCGGUGAUGACGGUACCCGCAGAAUAAGCACCGGCUAACUACGUGCCAGCAGCCC